UCCUGCUUACCGCAGGCAGUUCCCUUAGAGUCCCCGGCAUGACCCGCUGGCAACUAAGGGCGAGGGUUGCGCUCGUUGCGGGACUUAACCCAACAUCUCACGACACGAGCUGACGACAGCCAUGCAACACCUGUGUGCGAGCCGGCCGAACCGACUCUAGCGUUUCCGCUAGUCUUACUCGCCAUGUCAAGGAGUGGUAAGGUUCUUCGCGUUGCAUCGAAUUAGACCACAUGCUCCACCGCUUGUGCGGGUCCCCGUCAAUUCCUUUGAGUUUUAACCUUGCGGCCGUACUCCCCAGGCGGGACACUUAACGCGUUAGCUACGCCACCGAAAUAAAUCCCGAUAGCUAGUGUCCAUCGUUUACAGCGUGGACUAC
This 376-nucleotide unclassified non-coding RNA is filed under the name uncultured bacterium. RNAcentral describes it as "contains 16S-23S intergenic spacer region". The record is from RNAcentral.